UGGGGAAUUUUUCGCAAUGGGGGCAACCCUGACGAAGCAAUGCCGCGUGGGUGAUGAAGUCUCUUGGGACGUAAAAACCCUUUCGACAGGGACGAAACCGCAAGGUUGACGGUACCUGUAGAAGAAGCCCCGGCUAACUCCGUGCCAGCAGCCGCGGUAAUACGGGGGGGGCAAGCGUUGUUCGGAAUUACUGGGCGUAAAGGGUGCGUAGGCGGCUUUCUAAGUUGGAUGUGAAAACUCUGGGCUCAACCCAGAGCCUGCAUCCAAAAACUGGAAGGCUAGGGUUCUGGAGGGGAAAGCGGAAUUCCUGGUGUAGCGGUGAAAUGCGUAGAUAUCAGGAGGAACACCGGGUGGCGAAGGCGGCUUUCUGGACAGACACCGACGCUGAGGCACGAAAGCUAGGGAGCAAACAGGAUUAGAUACCCUGGUAGUCCUAGCCCUAAACGAUGGAUACUUGCUGUGAGGGGGAUUGAAUCCCUUUGUGGCGAAGCUAACGCAUUAGUAUCCCGCCUGGGGAGUACGGUCGCAAGGC
Molecule: ribosomal RNA, 532 nt
Filed under: uncultured Acidobacteriota bacterium
Lineage: Bacteria; Pseudomonadati; Acidobacteriota
Description: bacterial SSU rRNA
Rfam family: Bacterial small subunit ribosomal RNA
Source: RNAcentral